RNAcentral lists this long non-coding RNA (901 nucleotides) under Equus caballus (horse). Its description in RNAcentral is "lncRNA (ENSECAG00000041289.2)". Lineage: Eukaryota; Metazoa; Chordata; Mammalia; Perissodactyla; Equidae. The record is from RNAcentral.
GUGAUCCAAGAGAGGGCAAGGAGGAAGCCACGAUGCCUUUUAUACCCUCAUCCUAGGAGUCCCACUACAUGACUUCUAGCACAUUCUGUUUAUCAGGGCACUAAGUAUGGUUUACAUUCAAGGGAACGGGAAUUAGGCUCCAUCUUGUGAAGCACUCUUAUAGCUGCCGCAGAAGCCUGAAACCUGGGCGAGUUUUGAGCUGGGAGAUAGAACGAGAUUCACACGACAUGCCGCGUGACCAGGUCACCAGAAAACUCCAUUUCUUCUGUGAGGGGUUUCAAAGAGAAUAACGACCUACUCAGAGAUUCAAAUGUGAUGCUUUCGGUGGAGCAUCAGCCAUCUGGAGGAUGUGAGAUACCAGCCAACAGAUUGAGGAUGAUGGAGGAAAGAGCCUGCAUGCAAGAAAGCAGUGAGGGAGGGCAAACAGAACAGUGGCAGCAACCACCUACCCCUGCACUCCUUGUUCCAGGAGAAGCAGCAGCUUCUGUGUGCAUAAGGCAGACAAGUUGGGUUUGCUGUUACCUGCAGCUGUAGGCAUUCCUGACUGAUAAAAGGGGCUCUGUGAAUGUGAAGAAUGUGUGAAGCACCAAAUAAGGGACCUCCAGAGAAAUGCUUACUUCAGUAGAAACUCUUUUCUCCUCUAGAGAAGUCCCAUGUUCUCCAAUGCAGGGCUUGGCAAGCUGGGCAAAUAGAAAUAGGUCGGCCCUCUGCCCUUUUUUGUAAAUAAAGUUUUAUUGGAACAUAGCCAUGCUCAUUUGUAUACAUAUUACCAAUAACUGCUUUUGCCAUAAAACAGCAGAAUUGAAUAGUUGCAACAAAAACUGUGACAGAGACUAUCUGACUUGCAGAGCCCAAAUGACCUGUCCAAAAACAUUUGAACUUAAUGGUAACUCAAGUUGUU